GUUUUGAAAAACGUUCUUUUCUUGGGCCUUGUUGCUCACCAUGUAACAACAUCCUCUUACUUUUCCUGUGGUGGGAAAGUACCCUGUAGUACUAGCAAGGUGCACCCAGGUAGAGGACAACAGGAAUAGUUAUCCUACUUGCUCAGGCUUACAUUUUUACACAUGAAACAUAGUUUCUUUUACAUGUUUAUUUACUUAUUUGUUCUCAGGAAGACUGACGGGUGAUGUGAAAGGGACAUUAUGUUCUGAUAUCCUUCAGAUAGAGAAAUCCUAAAUUGCUGUUAAUUUCUUGUGCAUAUUCAGCUGCUGGAUUGCAUACAUCACAUCACUAGCAACCUGUGCAGAACGGCCAAGGGAUGGAGUAUGUGGCAUUGGGAACAGAGAUUGUCCUUGGAGAUUUCUGCUGUAUUCCCUGCAACUUCAGGACCUUCUUGCUCUUGAAAGUUGCAGUUUCAUAUUGGCUGCUGGACCAGUCCUGUAUGAUGUGCCACUUAUCAAUAAAAUGAAUUGGUUUCUCCAGGG
RNAcentral lists this long non-coding RNA (522 nucleotides) under Pan troglodytes (chimpanzee). Its description in RNAcentral is "lincRNA". The record is from RNAcentral. Lineage: Eukaryota; Metazoa; Chordata; Mammalia; Primates; Hominidae.